Pistacia vera is the source of this 436-nucleotide long non-coding RNA. RefSeq lists it as uncharacterized. The record is from RefSeq and is a predicted model, not a curated record. NCBI's taxonomy places the organism in Eukaryota, Viridiplantae, Streptophyta, Magnoliopsida, Sapindales, Anacardiaceae. The transcript has 3 exons.
AAAGCGGGCCAAGAAAGCCUCUCUUUCCAUCUUGCCCACCGGUAUAUCUUCCCAGCUGGUGUCUUUUGCUGUUGACGGGAUUUUGCUCUUAGCUAUACUUUCCAUCCUCAAAGCGCUUCUUGAGGUAGUCUGCACACUUGGAGCCACUGUUUUUGUGGGGAUCCUUCUCUUACGUGUUGUCUGGGCAGCCAGUUCCUAUCUUCAGUCAAAUGGAAGCGGUUUUAACCAGGGUGGAAACUCCUUUCGUGCCAUAUAGCCAACUAAUAACACAGUUCUUAUAUUAAUUAGAGCGCUAGCUCUUCUAGAUUUCUUCAGAGUACCACGUGAUUGUUCCGAAAAGAACUGAAUAUGGGAUUGUUGAUUCAAAUUCGUGAGAAGCAAUUAUAAUGUUUGAUCAAACUGCAUUAUAGCUCAGUAUUGAAUUUAUGUUAUGACA